This is an RNA transcript of Serinus canaria (Common canary), 1534 nucleotides long. RefSeq lists it as uncharacterized. The transcript has 9 exons. The record is from RefSeq and is a predicted model, not a curated record. NCBI's taxonomy places the organism in Eukaryota, Metazoa, Chordata, Aves, Passeriformes, Fringillidae.
GCGAGCACGCGCCGGGAGAGGGCGCCGAAGGGCGGGACCGAGCAUGCGUAAAGGGCCCCUUCCGGUCGGUGACGCGCUCCCGCAUGCGCACGUGCGGGUGGUUGGGCGCGCGGAGGGCGUGGUUUGUCCCGCGGCGCGCACGUGCGUGAGGCGGCGCGUGUGGCGCCCCCCCGCGGCGGCGGCGCGAUGGAGCUGGAGGCGGCGCGGCGCGCGGUGCUGGCGGCCGUGCGGGGCACGCGCGCCGCCGACCUGCCGCGCCUGCUGCACUGGAUGCGCAACACCCAUGACUUUGAUGAGCUUGUGGUGAGUAACGAUGAUGUUGUGCUCAGAAAUAUCGCUGAAGAUUUGCGGAAUCGUUUACCCAUCGAGGCAAUGUUCACUUCAGAACAUCAAGCUGUUCAGAAAAUACACCAGCAUCCACUGCCCAUGAUUCAUGUUGAUGCAUUCCUUUAUGAUGAUGAUGUUGUUGAUUCAUUGUGUGAGGAGGGGAAAAUGAGUAGGAGCUACUGCACAGAGUGUGGCUCAUACAAAACUGCAUCUUUAGAGUUUAUUUCGCAUUCCUUUUCCCUCAUGGAACUGAAGUUUCUUUAUCACCAUGUACUGCCUGACCUGACAGGAAAGGUAGUGGUUGACGUUGGCUCCAGGCUUGGUGCAGUGCUAUUUGCGGGUUAUCUUUAUAGCUCAGCUUCCCAGCUGUAUGGAGUAGAAAUGAAUGCAGACUUUUGCCAGUUGCAAGAAAUGAUGGUUACAAAGUACGAGUUCAUUGACAGAAUAAAGGUGGUUCAUGCAGACAUCUGUACUCAGCCCUCACUUCUGCAGAAGGCUGAUGUUGUUGUAAUGAAUAAUGUCUUUGAAUAUUUUCUUGACAGACAGGAACAGGCCAGAGCUUGGGAAUUUAUUGCUUGUAAUGUAAGGAAAAGAGGGUCCUUAUUAGUGACAGUUCCAAGUCUUGAGGAAUCACUUUCAAAGCUCCAGAUAUACAGCUCAGUCAAUGGGCUGAAGAGGUGCAGCUGAACUAUGAUGUGUAUAUGGAAAAGGAUGUUGACAGAGAAGCACUUGAACAGAUUCAUUUAUACAAGAUUCUCUAGUACCUGGAAAAAUUUACUAUAUAAAAUAAUGAAGGACACCGAGGAGCCAUGGGGAAUUAAUACAGCAAAUCCAGGAUGAUGGAACUCUUUUCCUGCACUUCUUCUGUGGAUGGUAGGAAGUGUAAUAAGGGGUUAAGAAGCUGAAAAUUCUGAACAGGUGUCAUGGCUUAGCAGAGGCUUGGUGGUGGCGUAAAACACUGGAAAUUCGUAACAGAGCCUCCUCGGAGAGAAAAGAUCCACAUACGCCCACCACAUUUAUAUUUAGAUUUUACGUUCUAAGGAUGUAAAGCUUUUAGUCAGCUGAAGAAUGUUUUGGGUUUUAGCAAACAUUAACAAUCCCAAGUGCAAAAAUACUAACUUCAGAGUUUUGGACUAAGCGUGUUGUGAAUUUAGAAGCAUUGUUAAAAAGUUUGCUGCACAACUUAUGUCUAGUGUAAAUGGGAAAA